Molecule: long non-coding RNA, 1282 nt
Organism: Artibeus jamaicensis (Jamaican fruit-eating bat)
Lineage: Eukaryota; Metazoa; Chordata; Mammalia; Chiroptera; Phyllostomidae
Exons: 3
Source: RefSeq, a predicted model, not a curated record
CACAAACAGGGAGAGAGUGCCCUGUGUGCCAGGCCCCGCCCGGCCUGGAGGUCAAGGGGAAUGCUGCUGGGGAGUUCGCAAGCCAGGGGCCUUACAUGGUUUCACAAACCUCCGAAAUGGAUGCACACCAUGCAGCCAACCAGAGCCGGGGAUGCUUCCUGCAAUGAUUUAAGCUAAUUGCAUUAGAUUCACCCUGAGACGCGAGUGAAACCGGCCCAACAGUGUCAGAGGCGCAAACUCCCGCAGUGUUACAAAGCCAACUGUCCGAGGACAGAAGGAUUUGGGAAAAUACGGAACAGAAGGAAAGGAUGAGAAUGUGGCAGAGGAAGGGCGACAAUCUCGUCUGCGGAGCAGUUUCCAUCCUGUCCAGCUGCAACUUUUGAUGAACCUCUGACAGGCCGGCGAGCAGGCAGUGAGCACUCAGGAGGUGGCCAGCUCGCUCAAGGCCAAGGCAGAGGAGAGGCAGCUCGUGAAGCUUCUGGGGCUCCAGGACUUCACCGCCAGCACCAGCACCAUCGCUGUCACUGCUCACUCUCCCCGACCUCACCCUCAUCAGGUCGUUACCACGUUACCCUGAGGCGCUUGGUACACUCGUGGGUUUGGCUGCUGCGCUGGGCGUGCCUGACCUCCCAUGAGUGAUUCUGUGGCUUUGUCUGUGAAAUGAGACGGCGGCAGGGCUCCCCCAGAGGGCUGCCAUCUUAAACGGGCACUCGCAUCUGCAGAGGGCUCCGCAGAGGCCAGCUCCCCCGACUCCGCUGGUUAAAAUCACUUUCCUUCCGUAAACUGUGGGCUCCGAGCACAUGCCUCCUCCCCACUGAAACCUCCUAGAUGGAGUCCAGAAUUCAGACUGAUCGCUCUCCCCUUGCACCCCUCAGCCAAGAGUCAGGGUCCCCGGUGGGCGCCCCCUUCCUGAGGUUGACAUCCUCGGUGAUCUCACUUCACCUCCCCUGCAAGGCUGCACUGUGGGUGGGGAACCCCCGCCCUACUUUCUCCUAGCUCACGCACUGCCGAGUCUCCGUGCCUCAGUCUCCACCUCUGGAAGACAGGGGUAUUCACAGCACUGUGCUCACGGAGGUGGCAUGAGACCUAAAUAAAAUGCUACACGUAGCUGUGGCUGGUGUGGCUCAGUAGACUGAGUGCUGGGCCUGCAAACCAAAGGGCCACCGGUUCAAUUCCCAGUCAGGGCACAGGCCAGGGCUGCAAGCCAGGCCCCCAGUAGGGGGUGUGUGAGAGGCAACCACACACUGAUGUUUCUCUCACUCUUUUUCUCCUCCCUUCUAAC